Molecule: ribosomal RNA, 497 nt
Filed under: uncultured bacterium
Lineage: Bacteria
Description: partial 16S ribosomal RNA
Rfam family: Bacterial small subunit ribosomal RNA
Source: RNAcentral
GACGAACGCUGGCGGCGUGCCUAAUACAUGCCAGUUGAGCGCUGAAGGUUGGUACUUGUACCAACUGGAUGAGCAGCGAACGGGUGAGUAACGCGUGGGGAAUCUGCCUUUGAGCGGGGGACAACAUUUGGAAACGAAUGCUAAUACCGCAUAAAAACUUUAAACACAAGUUUUAAGUUUGAAAGAUGCAAUUGCAUCACUCAAAGAUGAUCCCGCGUUGUAUUAGCUAGUUGGUGAGGUAAAGGCUCACCAAGGCGAUGAUACAUAGCCGACCUGAGAGGGUGGUCGGCCAAGUUGGGACUGAGACACGGCCCAAACUCCUACGGGAGGCAGCAGUAGGGAAUCUUCGGCAAUGGACGAAAGUCUGACCGAGCAACGCCGCGUGAGUGAAGAAGGUUUUCGGAUCGUAAAACUCUGUUGGUAGAGAAGAACGUUGGUGAGAGUGGAAAGCUCAUCAAGUGACGGUAACUACCCAGAAAGGGACGGCUAACUACGUG